Molecule: ribosomal RNA, 500 nt
Filed under: uncultured bacterium
Lineage: Bacteria
Description: partial 16S ribosomal RNA
Rfam family: Bacterial small subunit ribosomal RNA
Source: RNAcentral
AACGAACGCUGGCGGCGUGCCUAACACAUGCAAGUCGAACGAGAAAGCUCUUCGGAGUGAGUAGAGUGGCGCACGGGUGAGUAAUACAUAGGAACGUGCCUCUUGGAUGGGGAUAACCCCGGGAAACUGUGGCUAAUACCGAAUAAGCUCGAGAGAGGAAAGGUGGCCUCUAUUUAUAAGCUAUCGCCGAGAGAUUGGCCUAUGUCCCAUUAGCUAGUUGGCGGGGUAAAAGCCCACCUAGGCUACGAUGGGUAGCUGGUCUGAGAGGACGAUCAGCCACACUGGAACUGAGACACGGUCCAGACUCCUACGGGAGGCAGCAGUGGGGAGUUUUGCACAAUGGGCGCAAGCCUGAUGCAGCAACGCCGCGUGAGUGAAGAAGGCCUUUGGGUUGUAAAGCUCUUUCGGCUGAGAAGAAGGGUUGCAGCGUGAAUAAUACUGCAAUUUGACGGUAUCAGAAGAAGAAGCACCGGCUAACCUCGUGCCAGCCGCCGCCGUAA